UAGUCCACGCCGUAAACGAUGUCUACUUGGAGGUUGUGGCCUUGAGCCGUGGCUUUCGGAGCUAACGCGUUAAGUUAACCACCUGGGGAGUACGCCCGCAAGGGUGAAACUCAAAGGAAUUGACGGGGGCCCGCACAAGCGGAGGAGCAUGUGGUUUAAUUCGAUGAUACGCGAGGAACCUUACCUGAACUUAAAUGGCGGACGACGGUCGCAGAAAUGUGACUUUCUUUUAGACGUCCAUCAAGGUGCUGCAUGGUUGUCGUCAGCUCGUGCCGUGAGGUGUUGGGUUAAGUCCCGCAACGAGCGCAACCCCUAUCGUUAGUUGCCAUCAGUUAGGCUGGGGACUCUAACGAGACUGCCUGCGCAAGCAGAGAGGAAGGCGGGGAUGACGUCAAAUCAUCAUGGGCCCUUACGUUCAGGGGCUACACACGUGCUACAAUGGGCAGGUACAAUGGGCGGCUACCACGCAAGUGGAUGCUAAUCUC
Molecule: ribosomal RNA, 485 nt
Filed under: uncultured bacterium
Lineage: Bacteria
Description: bacterial SSU rRNA
Rfam family: Bacterial small subunit ribosomal RNA
Source: RNAcentral